Molecule: long non-coding RNA, 12161 nt
Filed under: Solanum tuberosum (potato)
Lineage: Eukaryota; Viridiplantae; Streptophyta; Magnoliopsida; Solanales; Solanaceae
Description: long non-coding RNA (STUB_LNC005187)
Source: RNAcentral
CAAGCUUCAGCAUAGAAAUCUUGUGAGACUUCUGGGUUGCUGCAUCCAAGGGGAAGAAAAGAUGUUGAUCUAUGAAUACAUGCCUAACAACAGUCUAGAUUCCUACAUUUUUGGUUUGGAUUUCUAACCUAUUACACAAGCUAAAAUGAGUAAUAAUUUGAUCUCUUAGUCAUAAUAUGAAAAAAUCUGCUCACAAGAAAGCUUCUUUUGCAGACCAAACAAAGAACAAAUUACUUGACUGGCCAAAGAUUUUCCACAUCAUCAACGGAAUUGCUCGUGGCUUAUUGUAUCUCCAUCAAGACUCUAGACUACGGAUUAUCCAUAGAGACCUUAAAGCAAGCAAUGUUUUGCUAGAUAUAGAGAUGAAUCCAAAGAUAUCAGACUUUGGCUUGGCCAGAAGUGUUACAGGAAAUGAAGUGGGAGCAAAAACACGCCAUGUGGUUGGGACAUAGUAAGAAUCUCUAAUAUCAUACAAUGUACUCUUAUAUGACAUCUUGCUUCUUUAAUUCUCAUGGUGGUGUUUUAUUGGCACAGUGGUUACAUGUCCCCUGAAUAUGCAGUAGAUGGGAAGUUCUCAGUAAAAUCAGAUGUGUUUAGCUUUGGCGUAUUGGUGUUAGAGAUUGUGAGUGGCAAGAAAAAUAGAGGAUUUGUUCAUCAAGAUCACAACCUUAACCUUCUCGGUCAUGUAAGCACUGUUUAACCUGUAUUACACAGAACUCAUUUGUUUUUCUUUACAAAAAUAGAAUUUGUCAUGAUUCAUAAGAUCAAAACUCAAACAGGCAUGGAAGCUUUACAAAGAGGAUAGGUCGUUGGAACUAGCUGCUGAGCAGCUGGCUGACUCUUGCAACACUUCUCAAGUUUUGAGGUCAAUCCAUGUGGGUUUGUUAUGCGUGCAACAACAUCCGGAUGAUAGACCAAGCAUGUUUUCUGUGGUUCAUAUGUUGGCUAAUGAUGGUCUACUUCCAAAAGCCAAAGAACCGGGAUUUUUCACAGAACGAAAUGUAUAUGAUGAAGCAAAAUCAGGAUUGCAGACAAGAAGUUCAAAAAACGAAUUCACUAUCACAUUGUUAGAUCCACGGUAGGUAGGGGUGCCAAAAUAACAAUUUUGAUUUGCGUGCACAUGAAUAAGAAAGAUAUACAUUACAACUUUGGUUAUUGUGAAAUACAGUAUUACUUAAAUAAAAUAAACAUCAAGUUCUACUUAUGUUAAUGUAUGGACCUUUUUAUCUAUUUGUAUUUUUCUUUGAAUAUAUACUUUAGAUAUGUCAACAACAAAGAAGGAAGCAGUAACGAAAUGUACCCAACCUAACAUGAGGCCAAAUAGUGGUUUCAUCAAAUCUGCUAAAACGAAGCAAUAUAUUUUGAACAAUUCUAUAAAUGAAUGCAGAAUUAACUCAAAACCAUUGCGCAGGUAAUGUAGAAACACUCCACCAACAAUUUUCCCCAAAUAUCAAAAUUCAAAAUCAUCAAAGUAGCAGAAUAGAACUAUACCAGAAUAAGGAGCCCUAGCGUUACGAGGAAGAGGCGACUGCCGGAGAUGGAGACUGAAUGGGAAGAUUAGCCUCAAAGUAGAGUUUCUUGUAAUUUGGGUCAACUGUCCAGAAAUGGAGCGAAAUAAAGAAAAAAGGGGAAAUGCUAACAAGGAAAAGUGACCGUGUAAGACUUGUUUAUGGGAAAUUUGAGAGUUUUGAAUAAAAAUGAGUGAAUCUUAAUUCAUCUCAUUUGAUCACAUAUAUUAUUAAUAAAUCCGCUCUUCAACGGCAACAACGGUGUGUGCUUUCUUCUUGGCUUGUUUUCUCCAAUGGUGUAUUAAUUGCAUCUGUUGAGAAAUAUAGAAUAUAUAAAAUAAUAUAUACCUUGAUGCAUAACUUGUAAGUAAUUAUACACAUUUUAUUCACGUGAGAUUGUAAAAUAAUAACCAAACGCCAUAUUUGAUAUGUUGAUUUUUUUUUUUUUAAAAAAACGAGCUAACAUAAUAUUAACUAUUCUAAUUUUUAAUUAAUACAUGAACAACCACUCGUAAGUGAUAACAGUACAAAAGUUGUUUCUAUGUUUUUUAACAUGUUGAAACAAAUAGCAUAUCAAGUUUUUCAAGUGACUAAUUUGUUAGUUACGAAAGGUUACGUAAUUUUUUAAGUGAUAUAAUAGCAUAAACAUAUUAUCUUAUCCAGUGUUUUAAAAGGCAAGGGCGUGAUGCAUGACAUUUUACUUAGCACAGGGCGAGGUGUAAACCCCGAGGUAUAGAGCAUAAGUCCCAUAUAAUAGCACAAAAUUAUAAAAAUACAUCAAACUGAAAAUAUGAUUAAGGAAACUCAUAGAAAAUAAAAGGGAAAAUGCAUAAGUACCCCCAGCCUAUGCCCAAAAUCCCUGAGACACACCUAACAUUUACUAAUGUCCUAUUACCUCCCCGAACUUAUUUUAUAUAUAAUUUUCUACCCUUUUUCGGCUUACGUGACACUAUCUUAUUUUAUUUUUUUAAACUCCGUGUCAAGUCAAACUAAACCACUCUUUUUGAAACGGAGGGAGUAAUAUUUAAGAAACUUUUUUUAACUUAGUUUUUCAACACAUGGAGACCACAAUAUGCAACAUGCAUGACUGGCCUAUCUAGAUUUGCAGUGCCUGAUUAAGAAAAAAUGAUUGUAGAAUCUGAGGCAGGUUCAAAAAGAAAGAAGGCAGUGAGUUUCUCAUUGUUGAUGGCAAUGAUUCUGCUAAUCCUGAUUUUGUUGUGGUACAAAUGGAAAAAGAAGAAUUAAACUGAAAUUCAGAGAAGAUUUUGAGCUGCCACUGUUCCCAUUGUCGACAAUAACAAGAGCCACAAAUAACUUUUCGGUCAACAACAAGAUUGGAGAGGGUGGAUUUGGACCCGUAUACAACAAGGUAUUCACUGCAAAUUUGUUGGAGUAGUAAACAGUUUAUGCACAAGAUUAGUGUAUCAGAGAUGAUCUUCAUUCUGUAAUAAUCUUGUCUUUGUAAAAUUUAUGCUCUCUUCAUGUACUUUUGUCAUUUCUAGGGGGUCCUGGAAGAGGGACAAGAAAUGGCCGUGAAGAGACUCUCAAGGACUUCCAUGCAAGGACUUGAUGAAUUCAAGAACGAAGUUAUCUAUAUUUCCAAGCUUCAGCAUAGAAAUCUUGUGAGACUUCUAGGUUGCUGCAUUCAAGGGGAAGAAAAACUGUUGAUCUAUGAAUACAUGCCUAACCAAGGGCGGCUCAACGUAAUUUGAGGCCUAAAACAAAAUUUAAGUGAGGCCUAAAAUUUAUAUAAAUAUCAAAUAUAGUUGUUUAUUUUUUUGAACUUUUUAAGUGCAAAUUAUUACUUGAUAUCAUUUCUUAAAAUGAUUUUUUUUAAUAUCAUUUUUAAUUAUUAAUUUUAAGUAAUAUUUUAUCAAUUCAACAUUGAAAAAUAUUCUUUUACUGAGGCAAUCAUUAUAUAAAUUGUUAACAUAAUACUAUAAGUAAUAAGUUGACAAACUUUACAUAAAGAUAAAAAUUAGAACCAUAAAAUAUGAUACAAGAAAUUGAUAACUUGGUAUAACCCUACUUUAAUAUGUUUAUGUAAUACUUGAAUAUUUAAGAAGAAACAAACAAAAGAAAAAUUGUAAGUCACUUUGUUGAAUUUUUUCGACUAUUAAUUUAUAUUUUUGAUAGUGUAUUACUCUAACUUAUCAAAAAAAAUUAAAAAGAAAGUGCAAAAGAAUUUUAAAAAGAUAAAUAAUACAAGUGUUAGCGAAGAGAAUGUAAACAUACAAAAUAAUGUUUUCUUAAUUUCUUCUAUUUGAUUGGCAUUAAAAAUAAUAAAAUAAUAUAUAUUUGUUUAAUAUUAUACAUUUUAAGCAAAAAUAAUUAUUUUUUAAUUAAAAAAAAUUAACACAUAAUUGAUGAAAAUUUGAGGCCCCCAAAAAUUGGGGGGCCUAAGCAUGUGCCUUAAAUUUAUCAAGCAAGAGCCGGCCCUGUGCCUAACAAAUGCUUGGAUUUCUCACUACUACAUAAGCUCAAAAUAAUAUACAAAGCUUUGUUCUAUUAGUCAUAACAUGUAUAUUUACACCUUCACAGAAAAAAACUAAUUAAUCGGAAAGCUUAUUUGUAGAUCAAACGAAGAGGAAAUUACUUGAUUGGCCAAAACGUUUCCACAUCAUAAACGGAAUUGCUCGUGGUUUUAUUGUAUCUCCAUCAAGAUUCCCGUCUACGAAUCAUACAUAGAGACCUUAAAGCAAGCAAUGUGCUGCUAGAUCAAGAAAUGAAUCCAAAGAUAUCAGACUUUGGCUUGGGUAGAUGUGUUGCAGGUAAUGAGAUGGAAGUAAACGCAAGCCGUGUGGUCGGAACACAGUAAGAACCUCCAUACCAUAUGUAUAAAGUACUCUUUCAUAUUGCCUCUGAUCACUUCUUAAUUUAAUCAACUCUCUUGCUCAUGUUUUUGCACAGUGGCUACAUGUCCCCAGAAUAUGCAGUGAAUGGGAUUUUCUCUGUAAAAUCAGAUGUAUUUAGCUUUGGUGUGUUGUUGUUAGAGAUUGUGAGUUGCAAGAGAAACAGAGGAUUUGUCCAUCAAGAUCACAACCUUAACCUUCUUGGUCAUGUAAGCACUCUAUAUAUUGUCUGUAUUACAUCUUCUUUUCUUAACAACACAGAGAAUUUGACACGCCCCAUGAUCUAUACUCGAACAGGCAUGGAAGCUUUACAAAGAAGAUAAGUCCUUGGAACUAAUUGAUCAUGAGCUGCAGCUAGCUGAUUAAUUCUUGCAAUGUAUCUCAAGUUUUGAGGUCAAUCCAAGUAGGUUUAUUAUGCGUGCAACAAUGCCGAGAAGAUAGGCCAAACAUGUCUUCUGUGGUUCUGAUGUUGUCUAAUGAAAGUCCACUUCAAGAAGCUAAAGAACCGGGUUUUUUCACAGAAAGAAAGGUACUUGAUGCAGCAAAAUCAGGAUCACAGAUAGGAAAUUCGAAAAAUGAAGUCAGUCACAUUGUUAGAUCCUCGGUAGUGUGUGAAACACAAAAGCUAUUUUGACUUGCAGCCCUUUACCUGUCUCAAACACAAUAUUAUAAUUUACCCAUUAUAAUAUUAACAAUUGAAUGAUGGAUUAUAAUUUAAGACAAUUCAAAAGUCUGUCUAAACGAUGAUAUUAAAGAGGUAACGGAAGUCUAAUGCAGGAACCUGGGAUAGAAAAUUCAAGGAAUCAAAUCACCAUCACAUUAUUAGAUAGUAUUUUUUUUAGUUUCCAAACCUGAUGUUUGAUAUUUUGGAAUUCCGAUUAAUCCGAACUUGUGGUUCGUUUCCUGUUAGACGUGUUUACGGGGAAAGCUCUCCCUAAUGUGGUGAUUUUUGUCUUAUCUAGGACUCGUACUUGAGAUUUCUAAAUAAAAAUGAAAGAAUCUUAUUCAUUCCGUCAUAACCUCUGCUGAUCACAUAUAUUAUUAGUUCCGCCUAAGGAUACUCAUUAAUUGCAUCUGUUGAGAAUUAUAGAAUAUAUAAAAUAAUAUAUACGUUGAUGCAUAACUUGUAAGUAAUACACAUUUUAUUCACGUGAGAUUGUAAAAUAAUAACCAAACGCCAUAUUUGAUAUGUUGAUUUUUUUUUAAAAAAAACUAGCUAACAUAAUAUUAACUAUUCCAAUUUUUAAUUUAAUACAUGAAUAACUAUUUUUCUAACUAACAACCACUCAUAACCGAACAAAAAUUGUUUCUAUGUUUUUUAACAUGUUGAAACAAAUAGCAUAUUAAGUUUUUCAAGUGACUAAUUUGUUAGUCACGAAAAGUUAGGUAAUUUUUUAAGUGAUAUAGUAGCGUAAACAUAUCAUCUUAUUCAGUGUUUUAAAAGGUAAGAGCGUGAGACAUGACAUUUUACUUAGCGCAGGACAAGGUGUAAGCCCCGAGGCAUAGAGCAAAAGUCCCAUGAAUUUUUCAAUUUUUAAUUUCUAUUAUAGAAAUAUAAUAUAAUAGCACAAAAUUAUAAAAAUACAUCAAACAGGAAACAUGAUUAAGGAAACUCAUAGAAAAUAAAACUUCUAACAUGAAUUUACAAGUAUAAAUAAUAAUGAUAUAAACAUUAUAAUGAGAAGCAAAUCAACUUUAAUAUCUUAACUUUUAAAUAAUAAAAGAAUCAUUAUUCCUAAAAAUAUAUUGUUGUUAUCCUAUGCAAUUUACCUCCCUAAAAAAACAAUUAAUAAAACUUAUUAGUAUUAUAAUAAAAACAUCACUCCAUCAUGAAUAACUAUUAAAUUAUUUUUAAAUAGCGAAAUAAUAAAAUAUGAUAAUUGAGAGAUAUAUGACAAAAACAUGACCAAUAAAAGUAAAGCUAUAAAACUUGGCUAGAUACUUUUAAAAGAAAUAUUAAAUAAUAAUCACCCUCACGAUAUUAUGAAAUAGUAAAUAUACAAUACUACGACUUGUUAUAUAUAUAUAUAGUUUAAAAAACUAUUAGGUAUCAUUCAUUUAUUAAAAAAUUAUGAGGAUCAACAAUUUUAACUAAACAAUUUAACACAUAAUUUGUGUAAGAUCUGUUAAGCAAGCCCUCGUAUUGGACAUUGAGCAUGUUUAGGACGUACAAACGGACGCUUAAAGCGUAAGUCUCAUAAAACUAAGCCCCACACAUAAAUCUCGGAGCAUUUUGCUAUAGCCCUGCUCCAAAGCGGGUCUCGACAGAGUCUUUUAAAACAUUGAAUUCUUAUCUAAGCAUAAAAGUUAAAAUAAUUGGUCAAACACACUAAUAAUUUGAUAUGUGCACCAUAAUAACAUUCCUUGCUGAAAAGGCUCAAACUAAUCCAUUAUCUUUGGGUUAAGACUUAAAGUUAUCCUUUAGUUUUCAUAUAGAGCAGUGAUAGUCACUCAUAUUUGUAAUAUUGGUGCACUUUUGGUCAUCCUCCAAAAUUUUGCCUAUUAUUUAACAUUGCUUUUGUCCUUAAUUUUAUAUAUGGAAUGUUCAAUUGUUUUUUUAUUAUAAAUUUAAUAGAAAUAAUAACUCCAUGUGAGAGAAGGUGAGAAGAAGAGAACCUUGUACUGUUCGGUAGAAAUAUUAUUGUAGCUAAACUAAGAAAAUCUUGACAUAUGGUGUUGCAUGAAAAGAAAAAAUUAUACUAUUGCACGUGAAAACGACGUGAUGAACCUUUCGACUUUAACCGUAAUAAUAUUUUUACCAAACAAAACAAGGUAUUCCUCUUCUCACCUUCUUUCGCAUAGAGUUAUUAUUUCUACUAAAUAUAUAAAAAGAUGACCGAAUAUUUCAUACAUAAAUUGUGGAAAAAAUUAAUGUUGAAAAAUAGGCAAAAGUUUUGGGGGAGGACCAAGAGUGCACCAAUAUUGUAAACAUGAGGGAUUACUACUGUUCCAUGUAAAAAUUCAAGAAUAACUUUGAGUCUCAAACCAAAAAUAAGGGACUAUUUUGGGAUUUUAAUUGGUCACAAGAUGGUUGGUUCACGUCCUAACAAGUUGCCGCAAAGAAAGACUUUCUGCAACUAACUUUGGACUAAAAUAUUUCCUAAUUCCAGAUGUUCCAAAGUCUUUGACAAUAUUAAUUAAACGUAAAAAAAAGGGAGAAAUCAAGUGCAUUUUUAGCAAUAACUGAACAUUUUCUUUUGUGGAAAGUUUUUUUUAUGAUAGCACACCCUCCGUUUCAUGUUUCAAUUUACUUAUCCCCAUUCUAAAAAAAAUUGUUUUAAUUUACUUACUAAUUUAUGAAAUCAAGAUAAUUUUAUUAUAUAUUUUUUCCUUUCUACUCUUAGUAUUAAAUAACAAAAUAAAAUAGCAGUAAUUAAAUAUAAAGUUCGGAAGCAUCAUUAACAAGGUUAAUUUAGUAAUAUACACCUUUAAUUAAAUUUUGAUAAAGAUGUAUUUUUAUAUCAAUAAGGACCGUGUAAGAUGAAACGGAGCGUUGGAACCAAAAUCCAAGAUAAUAGACUAGACAAAUAGUAUCAUCAAGAAAAGUCAGGUGGUUAUGGACUGAGCAAAGCCUUCUGAUAUGGGAACGGAGUUACUUUAGUCAAAUAAUGGAGGUAAACUUAGUCAAAGAGACAUUAAGAACCUGACAAACUUCCAAUUCUUGUCUAAAGCCGCCAUUGUUAACUACUAUUCAAAUAGAAUAAAAUAUGAAGUAGAUACAAAUUUCAGAAAUGUAUUUGCCAUUCAUUAUCCAGAAAGUAAAAACCAUGGCAUCAUCUAUGGAAGCUAAUUUCUUCAUACUUUUUUCGUUGGUUUUCUGUUCUUCUAUACACAAUAUUAUUUCUACUACAACAACAGAUUUAAUCAGUACAAAUCAAUUCAUCAUAGAUGGUGAAACUAUUGUUUCAUCCGGUGGAACCUUUGAGCUGGGAUUCUUCAGUCCCAGCGAUUCCUCAAAUCGAUAUAUUGGGAUUUGGUACAAGCAAAUACUUCCACAUAUCAAAACAGUUGUAUGGGUAGCAAACAGAGAAAAACCACUCACGAAUACAUCUUCAGUACAACUGAAGGUCACCAAGCCUGGAAUACUUGCUCUUUUCAACGACAAGAAUGAAACUAUAUGGUUUACUAACACUUCAAGAUCAGUCCAAAAUCCAGUUGCAGUGCUUUUAGAUUCUGGUAAUCUUGUUGUAAAAGAUGCAAAUGAUAACAAUCCAGAAGAUUUCCUCUGGCAGAGCUUCAAUUUUCCGACUGAUACACACUUGCCUGAUAUGAAGCUUGGCAAGAAUUUUAAAACUGGCCAUGAGGUUUACCUUUCAGCAUGGAAGAGUGAUAAUGAUCCAGCUCCAGGAGAAUUCACUCGUAAUAUUGAUCCUACUGGAUAUCCACAGGUUCUCACCAAAAGUGGCACAGAUGUAUUAAACCGUAUAGGACCAUGGAAUGGUUUACGAUGGAGUGGGGCACCCAUACCACUACUAACACAAAGCAGACUUUAUACAUUUCAAUUUAUUUUCAAUGAGGAGGAGGUUUACUAUAUUUUUUCUCUCACUAAUUACAGCUCGGUUUUAUCAAGAAUAGUCAUCACUAGCAAUGGUGAUAUAGAACGCUUCAUGUGGGUGGAGCAGACAAAGAGAUGGCAUAGCCACUACAAGUUACCUGCGGAUAAUUGUGAUACAUAUAGCUUGUGUGGUGAGCAUGGGAGCUGUGACUUAGGUACUCAACCUAUUUGUGGAUGUUUGGAGAAGUUUGUACCUAAAAAUCUACAAUAAUGGGAAAAGGGAGAUUGGACAACAGGGUGUGUUCGGAGGACACCCUUAGAUUGCAAAAGGGUACAUGUAUUUAUAAGAUAUCCUGGAAUCAAGUUGCCAGAUACUAAGCACUCUCAGCACUAUAAAACCAUGACACUCGAAGGGUGUAAGCAAGUAUGCUCCACGAACUGCAACUGCACAGCUUAUUCAAGUCUAGAUAUAAGUAACGGAGACAAAGGUUGCUUAUUAUGGUUUGGGGAAUUGGUUGACAUCAGAAAGCUGUCAGAAAGAGGACAAGACAUUUUCAUCAAGAUGGAUUCUUCAGAGGAAGGUAACCUUCUUAUUUUUUUUCAAUUGAGGAAGGUAAGAACUUGUUUAAGAAAUUUCCCAUGUGUUUCUUAACUCUCUUUUUUCAACAAAUAGAGAUGAUAUAAUGCAAAGUUAGUGACCUGUCUUGAUUUGCGGUGGUUGACUUAAAAAAUUAAUUGUAGAAUCUGAGGCAGGUUCGAAAAGAAAGAAGGCAAUGAUACUUGCACUGAGUUUCUCAUUGUUGAUGGCAACGAUUCUGCUAAUCCUGAUUUUGUUGUGGUACAAGCGCAAAAAGAAGAAACUGAAACUCAGAGAAGAUUUUGAACUGCCACUGUUCCCAUUGUCUACAAUAACAAGAGCCACAAAUAACUUUUCGCUCAACAACAAGAUUGGAGAGGGUGGAUUUGGACCUGUUUACAAGGUAUACAGUGUAAAUUUGUUGGAACGGUAACUAGUUUAUGCUAGAAAUGAUUUUAUUCUGCAAUAUUCUAGUCUUUGUAAAAUCUAUGUUCUGCUAUUAUACAUUUGCCAUUUCUAGGGAGUACUGGAAGAGGGACAAGAAAUUGCCGUGAAGAGACUGUCGAGGACUUCCAUGCAAGGAAUUGACGAAUACAAGAACGAAGUUAUCUAUAUUGCCAAGCUUCAGCAUAGAAAUCUUGUGAGACUUCUGGGUUGCUGCAUCCAAGGAGAAGAAAAGAUGUUGAUCUAUGAAUACAUGCCUACCAACAGCCUAGAUUCAUACAUAUUUGGUUUGGAUUUCUAACCUAUUGUACAAGCUAAAAUGAGUAAUAAUUUGAUCUAGUAGUCAUAACAUGAAAAAAUAUGCUCACAAGAAAGCUUAUUUUGCAGACCAAACAAAGAACAAAUUACUUGAUUGGCCAAAGCGUUUCAACAUCAUCAAUGGAAUUGCUCGUGGCUUAUUGUAUCUCCAUCAAGAUUCACGACUACGGAUUAUUCAUAGAGACCUUAAAGCAAGCAAUGUUUUGCUAGAUACAGAAAUGAAUCCAAAGAUAUCAGACUUUGGCAUGGCCAGAAGUGUUACAGGAAAUGAGAUGGGAGCAAAAACACGCAAUGUGGUUGGGACACAGUAAGAAUCUCUAAUAUCAUGCAAUGUACUCUCAUAUGAUAUCUUUGCUUCUUUAAUUCUUAUGGUGUUGUUUUAUUGGCACAGCGGUUACAUGUCCCCUGAAUAUGCAGUAGAUGGGAUGUUUUCGGUAAAAUCAGAUGUGUUUAGCUUUGGGGUAUUGGUGUUAGAGAUUGUGAGUGGCAAGAAAAAUAGAGGAUUUAUGCAUCAAGAUCACAACCUUAACCUUCUCGGUCAUGUAAGCACUGUUUAACCUGUAUUACACACACAACUCAUUUUUUUCUUUACAAAAAUAGAAUUUGUCAUGAUCCAUAUGAUCUAAACUCAUACAGGCAUGGAAGCUUUACAAAGAUGAUAGGUCCUUGGAACUAGCUGAUGAGCAGUUAGCUGAUUCUUGCAAUAUUUCUCAAGUUUUAAGGUCAAUUCAAGUGGGUUUAUUAUGCGUGCAACAACAUCCAGAUGAUAGACCAAGCAUGUCUUCUGUGGUUCAUAUGUUGGCUAAUGAGAGUCAACUGCCAAAAGCAAAAGAACCGGGAUUUUUCACAGAACGAAACAUAUUCGAUGAAGGAAAAUCCGGAUCGCAGACAAGAAGUUCAAAAAAUGAAUUCACAAUCACAAUGUUAGAUCCUCGGUAGGUGUGACAAAAUAACUAUUUAAACUUGUGUGUACAUGAAUAGGAAAGAUAUGUAAGAACUUAAAAUAAACAUCAGGUUGAAUUUUUCUACUUGAUUAUAUUAUCUACUUAUGCAUUGGAUCUUUUUAUCUAUUUCUGUUGUUCUUCGAAUACAUACUUUAGGUAUGUUCGUGUAUUGGAGAUAAUAGUGUAAUGCAGAUUUAGAGGCAUAAUUAUGUAUAUUCAAUUAGUUAGUUAAUUUGUUGAUUAGUUAGUUAAUUUGUUGAUCAGUUAGUUAGCAAUGCAAGUAGUUAGUUACACAAGUUAGUUAGGUGUCAGGCAGUAGAUUCCACAUGUAUAUAUAGUGGCAUACUUCAUCUUUUGUAAUACACUUUAUGAAAUACAAUCAGAAAUUCCCCAAAUUUGAUUCUCUCUACUCGAGUUUGAACAUUGUGUUUCUUAUAUAACAACAAAGACGAAGAAACUGAUUUCGAUAACCAAAUGGUCCCCAUUCAUAUUCACUAAAUCUGCUAUAAGGAAGCAAUAUAUUUUGAACAAUUCUAUAAGUGAAUAGAAAAUUAACUCAAAUGAUUGCCCAGGUAAUAUUAAUAUAGAAUGACUACAACACCAACUUUCCCCAAAUAUCAAAAUCAUCAAAGUAACAGCAAAGAACCAAUACCAAAGUAGAGUUUCUUGUAAAGGGAGAGGCGAUUGCCGGAGAUGGAGUCUGGAAAGAGAUAAUUCCGGAAGAUUAGCCUGAAAAAUCUACUUUGAGAAAUGGGAUCUAAGAACGAGCAAUUUUGUUGUAAACAUCCAAAGGGAAAAUAUGGAAUACUCACAUAUUUACUAUGCAAUUUUUUUUGUGUGGGUAAUUAUUGCUAUUUUUAUACUCUUUUUUUUUUAGUGUUUAGUGUAACUUUCUAUAUUGCUCUAUUUGGAUUUAAUGAAAUUUUCUUGGUAUUUAUGGUUAAAAAAAAGAAGCUUCCCACCAUUUCCCUCGAAUCUAAGGAAAAUAAGGUGUUAAAUAUUUGACUGAAACAUCACUUACAA